Molecule: long non-coding RNA, 1127 nt
Filed under: Marmota monax (woodchuck)
Lineage: Eukaryota; Metazoa; Chordata; Mammalia; Rodentia; Sciuridae
Source: RNAcentral
GUCUCAUUAAAUAUAUUUUUUUAAAAAAUUAAAUCAAUUUCAUCAAUAAAUAGCUUUUUUUAAUUGAUGACAGGGUCAGAGUAACACUAUUUAAAUAAGGAUUUCUGGGAAUUUUUUCCCUAUUGAAACAUAAAAAAUGAAAUAAAUUAAGAAAACUGAAAACUAAAUGGGAAAACCUGAUAAAAAUUCUGAUUACACUCCAAAUUCUUCUGAAACAUAAAAGUGAAAGCCUGGUCAAGAAAAGACCAACAGAGUUACAGCAGGAAUCACCUGGACCUUUGUGCACUUUUCCUACCCCGUCCCUGCAGGAAGAGGCAGGAUAGAAAACAAAGGGCCCAAUUCUCUGAUCCCUCCCAUGGCCCAAGAGGAACAGAGUAGCACUUACUUGUGACUUUCUACCUUGUCUGUGGGUUGCCUGGUGGACUGCUCUCUCUAUCACAUGACUCAGAACUCAGACAGGGACAAGUUCAGGGCUCAGGUCUCAAGUGAGGGAACUAUGGACAGCUGUGGUGGGAGCCACAGUGUGUGACCAUUGCAUGAAGGAAAAGGGAUCAGGAAACACACAGCACACCAAGGCCCUAAAGAAGCUUCCAUGGAACCCUCAGGUAACCAGCUCAUUUCUAAACUGCCAUGGAUUCUGGGGAACCUGGGAGGGGAAGCACAUACUCAGGUACCUGUAUGCCCAGGAAAGAUCAAAGCCUUUACCCAGGCAGACACCAAGCCUUAGAUAAUCAGUGAAGGGGUUCCACAUCAGAAUUAAAAGACUGGGGCAAAUGUGGAAUGUUUAAUUCAAAGUCUGCAGUUCAACAGAAGAUGGCAAGGCACACAAAGGAGCAGGGAAAUGUGACCAAUUCAAAGGAACAAAAAUCUUUAGAAACCACCCCAGCAGAAAAAGACAUCAGAGUGACAGGAUAUCACAUUUUAAUGUCUGCCUUACAGAGGCAGCUUGGAGGCUGAGGAUGCCACUGUCCAUCACUAUUGCCAUGGCAUGGGGAAGACUGUGUGCCUGUAAAUUAGCAUCCUGGUGGCCACAGAGAUUGUGCUGAUGCUGGUUUUAGAACUGUACUGUCUAACGUGGAGCAACUAGCCACAGUGACUCUAUAAACUCAGAAUCAGUUAAAUUUUAC